CUUUUUUCGAAAUGUGCAUUUUAUGAAGUUAUAGGUAAAUCUUUUCUGGCCUGACCAUUUCUUUCAGGAGCUACAGAAAGCCUUAUGUACACUCUGUGUUUCUUCUUGGAACCCGCUGUAAUCGGUUUUUUGAAUGCUGUGAGCUGUGUACUGUUACCCACACGGGCCCCGUUGCAUUUCUUUGAAAACACUGCUACAUGUGUAGGAUCAUCUCUCCACCCCAUUGCCCUCUGCCCCCGUUCAGCUCACAGGGUUCAUCCCUUCAACCCUCUCCCUCCCAGUGGCAUCAGAUGCCUUUGGAUAUCUUUAAACCAGAUGUUUUCCUCUGAACUAAUUUUACAAGUGACUCUGUCUUGAUUCCUUGCCCCACUUUUUAGGCAGGCACCAAGGAGACAGUGUCAUCCUUCCUUGGGGAGCUCUUGGAGGCCGGGUUGGAGCUUUCUGAAGUCUAUGCUUUGUUCAAAUGCUUUAAGUAAUUUGAAAAAACCAUGUGAUUCAUACAGUCUGAACUCUGUAGUUGACCCAUUUGAUCUUGCUAGGGAAAAAAAAAGGAGAGAGAAAGAAUGGAAAAUGAAAAAGGAAGGAAGGAAAGAAGGAGGAAGGGAGGGAGAGAUCCUUAUUUUGAUGUGCAGAGUUUGUAAAUUGACCCUUCUCUGGGCUAUGUGACAGUUUCCAAGUCAACAAAGGACAAGAUAAUACUAAGACACAGGUAUUCCGUGAAUUGACUCUGAAAAUAGGAAGGAGUGCUUCCCUUUCAGAUUUGGCUUUCAAAGUCCAGUGUGCGUCCCAGGAUCAGGCUAGAGAUGUCGAGGUUUGGCAGGGGAAUGAGUGGCUGGUCUGAAGGCGUAUUAAGCAUCCUACAAAGGAGUAAAGCAAACACAGAGUCCUCUCAUCUCAGCCAUUUAUCUACUGCAGCCACAUCUGUAGUGGCUGUCUGUGUGACUCCACAUUUAUGGGUCAAUGUCAAGCCCCAGCCGACACUCCCUGCAAAGAAAUGACUUCAUUUUCUUUAUUUUUAAUUGACAGUGAGUACCUGAGGCAAAACAGAACCACUGGUCUCUCACCUUCUGGUACUGAUUUUUCUCUAUUAAGCUAAAGCCAUUUAGAAGCUCGGUCCUCACCAAAACCACACUCAAAAAGUCCCCCUGGUAGUUGGAAAUUACAGGUGUGACUUCUGGGUGAAGCCUAGGCCUUGAGCCUCUGUGGUCAGAAACUGGUCAGUAGCUGGGAUUUGAGACUUCAGGCCUGUAACUUGUAUGUGAAAGUAACCAGCCACCACCCCUUAAAAUGCCUAUCAGAAGUCUCGGCAGUCCUGGGCCCAGUUCCUUCCUGCUUCACCUUGAUUACUGUUGUCUGAUCAUUGUUCAGUGACAUGCUGUCGUUGCAGUAGGGUUGACUGCAGCUCAGGCUCCCUGAUCAAAGAUGGGGUCACCUUAUGUCUGGGAGACUUCUCUGGAUGCUCACACACCUCUGUAACCCCACCUGCUCUCACACAGCAGCCUACAGUGAGCUUCCUAAGCACAUGGCUGGACAGAGGUGGGAACCAUAGGGGCACUGGGGCAAAAAGGUGUAGUCAGAGUAUCCUGUCUGCCCUGAGUCUUUUGUAACAAGCACACUUAUUCGGUUGGCUUCAGUAAUAAAACCUAACUUGUCCGUUCCCUAUAGAAACACCAGCAAGAUCACGUUGAAAUAUAUACACUUGUGUGUUUUCCCUGUGGGAGCCCGUUUAGUAGAGGCUCCCACAUGCAUUUAUCAUGGACAUUCAGCUAGAGCCAUGUGUGACUUGAAAUGCACAGUAGAGAUGGCCCCAGAUGCAGCUGGUCUCUCUCUCCUAAGAAGGUCGAGGGGCUCUGUGAUCCACCGUAGCCUCAUUUCCAUCACUCAGAGUGGUUCAUCAGAACUGAAAAUGGAGUUUCCUGAGACAGACUGUUUUCCUGACUUGAAGAAGGCAGGCCUUGUGGAGAAGGCUCUUAGUGAUAGGCUAUGGGGCUAUUCAGUAUGGCUCUACUGAGGGCUGCUGGUGUGAGAGUUAUCCAAGGCUGCUGGGCUGCUGACUUUGCUACAGUCUUACUGGCUGUCUUAUCUCUGCCAAACUCAGCCCUGCGCCUUGUGGCCCAAGUGGCGAGGCUUCACAUUCUCACCCAGGGUGAUGCUUGCAGAGGACUGGGUGACAGCUCCUUGUAGGGACAGGGAUUUGGAUUUCAUGAGUUACAGCCGUCCUCACUACACAGAAGUAGCUCAGACUAUGGAACCAACACUCCCUCACCCCGUCCCCCUUUUGUACCUAUCUUGAGGAGAACAAAUUCUCUCUACAGUGUAUUUAUUCUGUAAAGCAGAUGUGAGACUCUGGCCGGUUCCCCACUGAACGCAGUGCAUGUGGGAGGAAGGAUAGUCAGGCUUGAAAAACUGGCUUCAAGGUGAGACUAUCUUUUCCACUGGAGUUAGAAAGGGGAAAGGUUAUUUUAUGAAUUAGACGAGAAAGAAGAGUUCCCCUUGGUAGGCUUUAAAAAAUUAAAGGGAUUGAAAAAAAAAAAAAACCAGGGAGGACUUAUUUUGUAUACUUCCCAGAUUUCCACAGAUUAAUAAAUGUACCUGUGAAUAUAUAUAUGUAAAUCACAAUGAAGUUGUCAAGGGAAACCAUUUUUGCAUGUAUGCCAUUUUAUGAAGGUUUCCUUAAAGAAAAUAAAUACCAAAGCUUGUUUCUCCCUCACAAUGAACCCAAAUCCUUAUAAAGUUAAAUGAGGUGAAGAAAUUUGGCUAUUGCCAAAAACUUAACCAGGAGGGAAGGGCUUGUGUUCAAACACUUACUAAUGCCCUCUGACUAGGGGAACCCAUCCUUUUUGGUAGUUAAAACCCCGUGGUCUCCAGCCUUCCUGACUUGGAUAAUCCUGUCUUCCAAGAUCCCAGGGCCCUUCAGUUAGGUGUAGCUGUGUGCCACAUGCCUGACUUUUCUUUCAUACUUUGCUUACUUUGCCUUGGGUGUAUUUUAAUCUUGUAUAAAAAAAACAUGCAUGUGUCAGUCAUGCGCACGUGCACACGUAUACGUUCUGUAUUUGACAAAUGGUGGUAAGACCAAACGAACAAAAAAUAAGAAAAUUGCAUUUGUGGUUUUGCAACGUGAGUACACUUUGUACCACUAACACUGUGAUGUAUAAGAGCUGUCUGAAUGCCUUUUCAUGUUGUGAUUUGUACUUUAGAAUCCUAUGGAAACAUUUGAUUUAUAAUUCCAAUACAUAUUUUAAAUGUAUUGUGUCUUAUGUAGUCUGUCUCCCCUUUCAAAGGGAUAUCUUUUUAAAGGUAUUUUGGCUGGAAUACAGGUGAUAAUUUUGUAAA
RNAcentral lists this long non-coding RNA (3333 nucleotides) under Rattus norvegicus (Norway rat). RNAcentral describes it as "long non-coding RNA NONRATT024941". Lineage: Eukaryota; Metazoa; Chordata; Mammalia; Rodentia; Muridae. The record is from RNAcentral.